CCUUUGAGGCGAUCGUUACCCGCAAUCGAAAUGAGAGCCAUAUUCAAUUCGCGUCUUUUACAAUUUACCAUCGGUCUGAUGGGGGUCAUUGUGUCCUCGGCGACAAUGGCAAUUCCCUAUUUACUUCAGACCAAAUUACUCGGCAUUGUGCGAGCACUGGAGCUGACGGCCUCGGCCUUGCUCAUCUUUGGACUAGUGAAAAAGCGGGAUCUGAACAAGUCAAAGAUCAUGGUGGUCUGGCUGAUCUGUUCGCUGAUGUUUGUCACCGGCAUUCUCUACAACAUGUUUGAGGGUUUCUGGAUGUUCCACAGAAUCGAUGUGCUGACAUCGAUCAUAGUUACCGCCUCUUCAUUGGCUGCCGUAGCUUUGAUGUCUGGCAUGAUGUGCGUGGUGUACAAUGGCUAUGAGCGACUGGUGGAUGGCAAUGACGAGCAGAUACUUACAGCCUAAGUGGAAAAGUUUCUGGUUCCACUGCUCGAAGAGGAAGUUUCCCUGUGAUGGAGUAGGAUCCUCGUUUGCUGAAUAGAAGCUCCACUAAUUACACCGCCCCAGCCGGUGUGCCCCAGUCCGUUCGUUGCCACUUGUAAAGUUUCUGGAAAAGUUUGUCAAUUUGCAUUCGGCUUCUCUCGGGGAAGUCCAAUGUUACCACUGUUUUCUGCUGCAUUUAAUUAGGUUUACCACCAACGGGCACAAAAAGGGACGCAUGGCUCCUUGCUGCUUAACGGGCAUUUCUGAAUUAA
RNA transcript from Drosophila subobscura, 740 nucleotides. RefSeq lists it as uncharacterized. The transcript is spliced from 4 exons. Lineage: Eukaryota; Metazoa; Arthropoda; Insecta; Diptera; Drosophilidae. The record is from RefSeq and is a predicted model, not a curated record.